CUAGCGACUUCAGAGUUUGAUCCUGGCUCAGGAUGAACGCUAGCUACAGGCUUAACACAUGCAAGUCGAGGGGCAGCAUUAGGUAGCAAUACUGAGAUGGCGACCGGCGCACGGGUGCGUAACGCGUAUCCAACUUUCCCGUUACCCUGGGAUAGCCUUCCGAAAGGGAGAUUAAUACCGGAUGGUGUUGAAAAAUCGCAUGUUAUUUCAACUAAAGAUUUAUCGGUAACGGAUAGGGAUGCGUGACAUUAGGUAGAUGGCGGGGUAACGGCCCACCAUGCCCACGAUGUCUAGGGGUUCUGAGAGGAAGGUCCCCCACACUGGAACUGAGACACGGUCCAG
RNAcentral lists this ribosomal RNA (342 nucleotides) under uncultured bacterium. Its description in RNAcentral is "bacterial SSU rRNA". It matches the Rfam family "Bacterial small subunit ribosomal RNA", at positions 1 to 334 of the family's 1533-position model. The record is from RNAcentral.